This 247-nucleotide ribosomal RNA is filed under the name uncultured bacterium. RNAcentral describes it as "partial 16S ribosomal RNA". It matches the Rfam family "Bacterial small subunit ribosomal RNA", at positions 15 to 252 of the family's 1533-position model. The record is from RNAcentral.
GAUCCUGGCUCAGGAUGAACGCUAGCUACAGGCUUAACACAUGCAAGUCGAGGGGCAGCAUUUCAGUUUUGCUUGCAAACUGGAGAUGGCGACCGGCGCACGGGUGAGUAACACGUAUCCAACCUGCCGAUAACUCGGGGAUAGGCCUUUCGAAGAAGAUUAAUACCGAUCGGUAUAAUUAGACCGCAUGGUCUUGUUAUUAAAGAAUUUCGGUUAUCGAUGGGGAUGCGUUCCAUUAGGCAGUUGG